Hippocampus zosterae (dwarf seahorse) is the source of this 2050-nucleotide long non-coding RNA. RefSeq lists it as uncharacterized. The transcript has 2 exons. Lineage: Eukaryota; Metazoa; Chordata; Actinopteri; Syngnathiformes; Syngnathidae. The record is from RefSeq and is a predicted model, not a curated record.
CAGGAGGCCGCCGUGGCCCAAAUGAGCCGGAGCCCGGGGGUGCAAAGGGGGGCUUGGCGAAGGAUUGGUGGAGUGUGGCAGGCUGGAACUCUGCUGAUCCAGUAGGCGAUUUUGGAGGCUUCCUGGGCCACCCAGAAAGUCAGAGUGAAGAUGAAAUGUACCAUUUACAUCGGAUUUGUCCUGGGGCUGCCACAUUGUCUCUGCAUAUUCACCUGAAGAGGAUACCAUCAACUAAUCACAUCAUUCCAUGUGUCAACGAAUGAAGUCAUGGGACAGUUUUACAAUUCAACAAUUCCACUGGUAGGCAUAAACAAGAACAAAAAUGACAAAAAUAUUUUCAAAUCAUUUUCUUGAGUCGUUUUUCACACUGCAGAAAGUGGUACACUUCAAGUGCUCCAGUUUUUGUGUCACACCUUAUGGGCUAUUUUUCUUGUACGUUUUUUUUUUUAGCAUUUUGGUAGGCUAAAACGAAGCUUACUGGCCCAGGCUUGCAUCUUAAACUGAACACUGCACACUACUCUUUUUUUUAAGCUAGUUUCCAAGAACACUACCUGAACUGCCAACGGAUUUGUAGAACAUCCAGCAUCUAUUCGACCACCGUAAGAGGAGAUUUCACGUCACUUUGUGGCAAGGUGUUUUUCUUUUAUUCACUUUUCCACACAGCCAGUGGCUUCCACAGUUUUAUAAACUUUCCCCUUCAUCCCAGCAGAGACUCUGUGGCAAAUUGUUAGAAACAUUACAGCACCACUUGAAACGUGACAGUGGCAUUGCUUAUAAGGCUUUUGUAUUGGAUGCUGGUGAGUGCGUUAUUAAGCUGUAGAAAAGAGUCGUCAAUUACUUUUGCGGGGGCAGUUUGGUUUAUCGUUUGAUCAAUGAUCUGCCGGCAUUUGGUGGGAAGUCCGUUUCAGUUAUCUGGGAUUUGAAUGGUUCGUCCCCACUCGAUUGAAUCUGUUUCUUGUUACAAUUGUGUUGGGUUGAGGGUCACGUGGGCUAUUAGGAGAAUAAAAAUGAGAGUGAGAUUUGGCAGGGUGUCAAAUUUGUACCACCAUGUGUUGUAUGUGCGUGCGUGUGUGAAGAGUGCGGGCUUUGCUGCUGCUGUUUUCUAUUAGGAUACAAGAUGGCUUAGUUCUGCCGUGUGUAUUCAGAGUGACAUUCAUGUGGACCACGUGUGACGCCCUUCCGCCCAUAAGCCGUCACUGACGUAUGGCGCAUGAACUUGACACUUGAGCUCAAGCACACACAAAAAUGUGGCUUUAAGGGAAAAACAGAAGAGCAGGAGCAAGCGCGUGCAUGUGAGCCGUCACCUUGGAUGCGUUUGUAACGUUUGUACCAGCGUCCAAACUCCUGGCAUUUGGACAUGGAGACGUUGGAAUAAUAGGAACUGUUGACGAUGGCAUAAAUCAUACUCUGUGGGAGAAAGAGAGAGAGAGAGAGAGACACACACAACAUUGGGCAGGGCUGAAUACAAUAUGAAAGCAGGUAGAUUGCGCUCAUGUAAAUUACAGUCCCUAAUUUACUUUAUAUAUGUUUCUUUUUUUUUUUUGCCUGUCUGGGCGUUCCGGCCUCGCCCGCGACACAUCUGACAGUUUGGUAAAAGAAGGUAGUCUGCGCUCGGCAUAAGAACACCAUUUUUGUGUCGGUGCAAUCGUUUAGUCAACGUCUUUGUGAAUUUGGCAGACGCGCUACGCAUCAUUUAGAGUUUCUGGCUCAGCCCCUAUCUGCCAAUUUGGUUUCAAAAAGUAGACUUGAUUGUAGAUUGGCAAAAACCAGGUCUAAAUCAUAGCACAGGUGGUCCAACGCAAUUUUGGUGUACUAUAUUUGAUCAAGGCGCAGGCAGACCGAUACACUACGCCAUAGGUGUCAAACUCCGGUCCUGGAGGGCCGCUGUCCUGCAUGUUUUCAAAGUCUCCCUGUUGCAACAUUCCUGAUUCAAAUGAUCAGAUCAUCAGCAAGCUCUGCGGAAGCCUGACAUUGAACCUGUUCAUUUGAAUCAGGUGUGUUGCAACAGGGAGACUCGGAAAACAUGCAGGGACUGAGUUUGACACCUAUG